UCGAUGGUAGGAUAGUGGCCUA
Molecule: non-coding RNA, 22 nt
Filed under: Arabidopsis thaliana (thale cress)
Lineage: Eukaryota; Viridiplantae; Streptophyta; Magnoliopsida; Brassicales; Brassicaceae
Source: RNAcentral